Molecule: non-coding RNA, 30 nt
Filed under: Rattus norvegicus (Norway rat)
Lineage: Eukaryota; Metazoa; Chordata; Mammalia; Rodentia; Muridae
Source: RNAcentral
UAUGUUAUGCAGAUGGCGCUGGAUGGACGG